Camelus dromedarius (Arabian camel) is the source of this 551-nucleotide long non-coding RNA. RefSeq lists it as uncharacterized. NCBI's taxonomy places the organism in Eukaryota, Metazoa, Chordata, Mammalia, Artiodactyla, Camelidae. The record is from RefSeq and is a predicted model, not a curated record. The transcript is spliced from 3 exons.
ACUGCUUCUGAAGUGGAGAGAGUUGAAUAAACCCAAGGUUCCUUCUUGGGAACUGGUCAUUAUUACCUGCUCCUGCACUUGUCAUGGAAGAGUAGAGGGUCCUUGGAGAGGCAAUGGUACCAGGAUUUGAGGUGAAGCUUUAGUCCGCAAAUGGCCCUGGGAAGAUUAAGCCUUGCCUUGCUUUCGCACUGAGGAUUGUCCGUCACCGUUUUCCCCUGGUGAGGAGUAGAUAAGGCCUUCGUGUUUAAAGAGAAGCGUCCGCAGACACGAGAAAACACUGCCAAAAAGGAAGCCUUGGCAUCUCAAAACCAAAUCUCCGGCAAAACACCAAAUUCAUGCAAUUAUUUCAUGUAAUGAAACACCUGAAACUCAACUCCCAACCCUUUGCCAAGUGGAAGAGACAAAGAGUAAGGAAAGGAGAAGAGACCAAAAGGGAGGGUAAAUAUGAGAUGAAGAAUUCCCAAAGGCUUGAGAUUACUUUUCCUCGGUCUUUCCUUCAACUUCACCACCCAGAGGUAAUAUUUUUAAAACACAAGGCUUAAAAUAAGCAA